GACGAACGCUGGCGGCGUGCUUAACACAUGCAAGUCGAACGGAAAGGCCCUGCUUUUGUGGGGUGCUCGAGUGGCGAACGGGUGAGUAACACGUGAGUAACCUGCCCUUGACUUUGGGAUAACUUCAGGAAACUGGGGCUAAUACCGGAUAGGAGCUCCUGCUGCAUGGUGGGGGUUGGAAAGUUUCGGCGGUUGGGGAUGGACUCGCGGCUUAUCAGCUUGUUGGUGGGGUAGUGGCUUACCAAGGCUUUGACGGGUAGCCGGCCUGAGAGGGUGACCGGCCACAUUGGGACGGAGAUGCGGCCCAGACGCCUACGGGAGGCAGCAGUGGGGAAUAUUGCACAAUGGGCGGAAGCCUGAUGCAGCAACGCCGCGUGCGGGAUGACGGCCUUCGGGUUGUAAACCGCUUUCGCCUGUGACGAAGCGUGAGUGACGGUAAUGGGUAAAGAAGCACCGGCUAACUACGUG
This 468-nucleotide ribosomal RNA is filed under the name uncultured bacterium. Its description in RNAcentral is "partial 16S ribosomal RNA". It matches the Rfam family "Bacterial small subunit ribosomal RNA", at positions 28 to 507 of the family's 1533-position model. The record is from RNAcentral.